Molecule: ribosomal RNA, 253 nt
Filed under: uncultured bacterium
Lineage: Bacteria
Description: partial 16S ribosomal RNA
Rfam family: Bacterial small subunit ribosomal RNA
Source: RNAcentral
UACGAAGGGGGCUAGCGUUGCUCGGAAUCACUGGGCGUAAAGCGCACGUAGGCGGUCUUUUAAGUCAGGGGUGAAAUCCUGGAGCUCAACUCCAGAACUGCCUUUGAUACUGAGAGACUUGAGUCCGGGAGAGGUGAGUGAAACUGCGAGUGUAGAGGUGAAAUUCGUAGAUAUUCGCAAGAACACCAGUGGCGAAGGCGGCUCACUGGCCCGGUACUGACGCUGAGGUGCGAAAGCGUGGGGAGCAAACAGG